CAAACAUGUCUCUUAGAAAAUAUUAAGAGUCAGGCCUGCCCAGUGAUCACUUUAACGGCCGCGGUACCCUGACCGUGCAAAGGUAGCAUAAUCAUUUGCCUUUUAAUUGGAGGCUAGUAUGAAUGGUCUAACGAGAGUAACACUGUCUCAUAUAUAUUCAAUAGAAAUUAACUUAAAGGUGCAAAGGCCUUUAUCCAUUAAAAAGACGAGAAGACCCUGUUGAGCUUUAAUCUUAAUGAACAUUCCUCCUAUAUUCAUAAAUUUACCUUGUUCACUAAAGAUUUUAAUUGGGGCGAUUAAGGAACAAACACUAGCUUCCUGAAAUAACUCAGAAAUAUUUAUAAAUUAAACCGAUCCAACAAUGUUGAUCAGCAAAAUGAGUUACCACAGGGAUAACAGCAUAAUUCUUCUUGAGAGUCCCUAUCGAAAGAAGAGAUUGUGACCUCGAUGUUGGACUAGGGUAACCAGAAGGUGCAGCCGCUUUCUUGUUUGGUCUGUUCGACCAAUAAUUCCCUACGUGACG
This 523-nucleotide ribosomal RNA is filed under the name Nerita peloronta. RNAcentral describes it as "partial 16S ribosomal RNA". It matches the Rfam family "Bacterial large subunit ribosomal RNA", at positions 1810 to 2607 of the family's 2925-position model. Lineage: Eukaryota; Metazoa; Mollusca; Gastropoda; Cycloneritida; Neritidae. The record is from RNAcentral.